This 306-nucleotide ribosomal RNA is filed under the name Triticum aestivum (bread wheat). Its description in RNAcentral is "partial small subunit ribosomal RNA". The record is from RNAcentral. Lineage: Eukaryota; Viridiplantae; Streptophyta; Magnoliopsida; Poales; Poaceae.
AAAGCCAUAGAAUUUGGGUACGAAUGGACUAUUGGUGAUGGCAAGAAAAAUUGGUUUUGGGAGGGGACCUGGUUUGGUACCUCCCCUCUUGUUGUCCAUUUCUGGCAUGUCUAUAUCAUCUUUAAUGAAACUUCUAAAACCAUUGUUGAUGUUUGGGACGGGACCCAAUUAAAGCUAACAUUUAGAAGGAACUUUGAUGGUUGGCUUAUGGAGUUGUGGUACCAACUGCUAGGGAUUGUUAGCCUGCCCCAACCCCCCAACAACCUGGUCUGGAGCAAACCCAAUCCAAAGAAAAUUGUGUUGUGA